AGAAGACUGGUUUGGGUUGAGGCUCAAGAUUUUAAAACUGCCACCUCCCCUCCUUCUAAUUUUCAAAGGACACAAGUAUUCAGAGCUCAAGGAGCCCCCUUUAAGGGCAUGAAGCUGUAGCUGCAGAUCCUGUAAGAAUGGGAAUUCUGGGAUGAAGGCACUGUUCAGACAGUGCAGCCACUCAGAUGGCAGCACAACCCUGUGUAUGAAGUCACCCUGCUUUGGUUCCAGGCGCACACAGUGGGAGCUGAGCUCUGGUGUCGCUCCAUGGCCACAGCUGGUUUUCCACUGGCAGGAACUGCUGUGCUUGGCACUGUGCACCUGUGGCCUCCCUCCUGUACCUGCUGGAAACAUGCUCCUGCUCCAGCUGGGCACAAAGGAGACAGGAACAUGAAAAUGGGGAGCUGUGCUCUGACACUGAAUUUCUGGGGGCAGGAGCUGUGAGCAGAAUGCAUCUCAGAGGAGAUGUGUCCCCAUCGCUGAGGCUGUGCUCCUGCUCUGUGAGGGAAU
This 510-nucleotide long non-coding RNA is filed under the name Cyanistes caeruleus (blue tit). Its description in RNAcentral is "lncRNA (ENSCCEG00000004036.1)". The record is from RNAcentral. Lineage: Eukaryota; Metazoa; Chordata; Aves; Passeriformes; Paridae.